Molecule: ribosomal RNA, 465 nt
Filed under: Vreelandella stevensii
Lineage: Bacteria; Pseudomonadati; Pseudomonadota; Gammaproteobacteria; Oceanospirillales; Halomonadaceae
Description: partial 16S ribosomal RNA
Rfam family: Bacterial small subunit ribosomal RNA
Source: RNAcentral
CCUACGGGCGGCAGCAGUGGGGAAUAUUGGACAAUGGGGGCAACCCUGAUCCAGCCAUGCCGCGUGUGUGAAGAAGGCCCUCGGGUUGUAAAGCACUUUCAGUGAGGAAGAACGCCUGGUGGUUAAUACCCAUCAGGAAAGACAUCACUCACAGAAGAAGCACCGGCUAACUCCGUGCCAGCAGCCGCGGUAAUACGGAGGGUGCGAGCGUUAAUCGGAAUUACUGGGCGUAAAGCGCGCGUAGGUGGCUUGAUAAGCCGGUUGUGAAAGCCCCGGGCUCAACCUGGGAACGGCAUCCGGAACUGUCAAGCUAGAGUGCAGGAGAGGAAGGUAGAAUUCCCGGUGUAGCGGUGAAAUGCGUAGAGAUCGGGAGGAAUACCAGUGGCGAAGGCGGCCUUCUGGACUGACACUGACACUGAGGUGCGAAAGCGUGGGUAGCAAACAGGAUUAGAUACCCUGGUGGUC